Molecule: transfer RNA, 62 nt
Filed under: Lychas mucronatus (Chinese swimming scorpion)
Lineage: Eukaryota; Metazoa; Arthropoda; Arachnida; Scorpiones; Buthidae
Description: tRNA-Asn
Source: RNAcentral
UUAAUAGAAGCUAAAAAUUAAGUGUCUCAUUGUUGAUGAGAAGUUGAGAAAAUCCUAUUAGG